Molecule: ribosomal RNA, 226 nt
Filed under: uncultured bacterium
Lineage: Bacteria
Description: partial 16S ribosomal RNA
Rfam family: Bacterial small subunit ribosomal RNA
Source: RNAcentral
GCGUUGCUCGGAAUCACUGGGCGUAAAGGGCGCGUAGGCGGCUGAUUUAGUCGAGGGUGAAAGCCCGUGGCUCAACCACGGAAUGGCCUUCGAUACUGAUUGGCUUGAGACCGGAAGAGGACAGCGGAACUGCGAGUGUAGAGGUGAAAUUCGUAGAUAUUCGCAAGAACACCAGUGGCGAAGGCGGCUGUCUGGUCCGGUUCUGACGCUGAGGCGCGAAAGCGUG